Molecule: ribosomal RNA, 253 nt
Filed under: uncultured bacterium
Lineage: Bacteria
Description: partial 16S ribosomal RNA
Rfam family: Bacterial small subunit ribosomal RNA
Source: RNAcentral
UACGUAGGGCGCAAGCGUUGUCCGGAAUUAUUGGGCGUAAAGAGCUCGUAGGUGGUUUGUCACGUCUGCCGUGAAAACCCGAGGCUUAACCUCGGGCCUGCGGUGGAUACGGGCAGACUAGAGGUAGGUAGGGGAGAACGGAAUUCCCGGUGUAGCGGUGAAAUGCGCAGAUAUCGGGAGGAACACCGGUGGCGAAGGCGGGUCUCUGGGCCGAUACUGACGCUGAGGAGCGAAAGCGUGGGGAGCGAACAGG